UAGCAGCAUCGAAAGUACUUUCAUCCGAAAUACUCGGAUGCUGAACCUCGGAAGAUUCUUUAUUUGGAUCUAUCUUUAGAUUUAAAUUACUAGGCUCUGGCUUAUUUAGAAGCAAGCUGUUUUUGGGUUCACUACUUGAUGCGUACACCUCUGUAAGACUAGCAUCUUCGGAGUCAUCACUAGAUACAGGCAAGACAUCGCUUGAUUGUCCAUUCUUUUCACUAUCGUCGGAGCUGAUCCUCAUUGGUUCCGGCUUCUUCAACAAUGUAACAUCACUAAACUUCUCAGGUUUCAGUUCUCUGCCCAUUUUCAGUGUCAAGUUUGGCUUAAUUUUGAAUUUUGAUGAUUCAUCCUCCUCAGAAUACAAACUUGGCUUUCGCAGUAUGACAUUUGGAACACUACUUUUUCUACUUACUUCAGGUCUUGAAAUUGGUUGACUUUGUUUAUAGCCCUCAGUCUUUGGCUGUUUUUCAUCAACCUCGAACUUAACACCCUUCUUGGGCACAGGGCGAACCAAAUUUAAUCCAUUUGAUGAAUUGAGAGAUUUCUUUUGCUUGGAUGCAUCAAACGGAACCUCCACAGUUUCACCAGACGUUUUUCCCUUCUUCUGCUCAAAUGACUCUUCAAUUUCAAGAUAAGAUGUCUCCGGGUUUGUUUUCCUACUAAUUAUCUUAGCUAAGGUAAGUUUUGGGUCUUCACCAAUUAAUCUGCCAAACUUGAGUUCCAUUUGGUCCCACUGGUCAAGCUUAUUACUAUUCCUAUCAUCUUUAGAAGCAAAAACAACAAAUUUCUUUGUCUUUCUGGAGGAAAAAACAGUUCUUG
RNAcentral lists this unclassified non-coding RNA (822 nucleotides) under Hevea brasiliensis (rubber tree). Lineage: Eukaryota; Viridiplantae; Streptophyta; Magnoliopsida; Malpighiales; Euphorbiaceae. The record is from RNAcentral.